Molecule: ribosomal RNA, 663 nt
Filed under: Mycoamaranthus cambodgensis
Lineage: Eukaryota; Fungi; Basidiomycota; Agaricomycetes; Boletales; Boletaceae
Description: eukaryotic LSU rRNA
Rfam family: 5.8S ribosomal RNA (bases 281-435)
Source: RNAcentral
AAGUCGUAACAAGGUUUCCGUAGGUGAACCUGCGGAAGGAUCAUUAUCGAAUUAAAGAAGAUGGUGCAAGCGUGAAGACUGUGCUGGCCUCGUCAGGCAUGUGCACGUCCAACGCUGACACUGUCGUUCUCUCUCACACCUGUGCACCUAUUGUAGGUCCUCGAAAGAGGAUCUAUGUUUUUCUACACACCCAUCGUAUGUCUACAGAAUGUUUAGAUCGAGUCUCAUCGAACGGAGGUUGAAAGGCCUUUCUAAUAGAGGACUUGAACGAAAUUUAUACAACUUUCAGCAACGGAUCUCUUGGCUCUCGCAUCGAUGAAGAACGCAGCGAAUUGCGAUAAGUAAUGUGAAUUGCAGAUUUUCAGUGAAUCAUCGAAUCUUUGAACGCACCUUGCGCUCCUUGGUAUUCCGAGGAGCAUGCCUGUUUGAGUGUCAGUGAAUUCAUCAACCAUGUCUGUAAUGCAUGCAUGGCUUGGAGUUGGGAGUUGCUGGUCGAUCAUGAUCAGCUCUCCUGAAAUGUAUUAGCAAAGGGUCAAGUUUGACAUGCACGGCCUUGGACGUGAUAGUUGAUCGUCCUAGCUGGAAGUGUCUACGUCUUUGAUCGCUCUGCUUCCAACAUGGGUGAAUGGCUUAUUAGUCUGGUUUGGACGAAAGGCUUGUCAC